This 513-nucleotide ribosomal RNA is filed under the name uncultured bacterium. RNAcentral describes it as "partial 16S ribosomal RNA". It matches the Rfam family "Bacterial small subunit ribosomal RNA", at positions 28 to 523 of the family's 1533-position model. The record is from RNAcentral.
GAUGAACGCUGGCGGCGUGCCUAAUACAUGCAAGUCGAACGCACAGCGAAAGGUGCUUGCACCUUUCAAGUGAGUGGCGAACGGGUGAGUAACACGUGGACAACCUGCCUCAAGGCUGGGGAUAACAUUUGGAAACAGAUGCUAAUACCGAAUAAAACUCAGUGUCGCAUGACACAAAGUUAAAAGGCGCUUUGGCGUCACCUAGAGAUGGAUCCGCGGUGCAUUAGUUAGUUGGUGGGGUAAAGGCCGACCAAGACAAUGAUGCAUAGCCGAGUUGAGAGACUGGUCGGCCACAGUGGGACUGCGACACGGCCCGAACUCCUACGGGAGGCUGCAGUAGGUAAUCUUCCACAAUGGGCGAAAGCCUGAUGGGGCAACGCCGCGUGUGUGAUGAAGGCUUUCGGGUCGUAAAGCACUGUUGUAUGGGAAGAACAGCUAGAAUAGGGAAUGAUUUUAGUUUGACGGUACCAUACCAGAAAGGGACGGCUAAAUACGUGCCAGCAGCCGCAGUAA